RNAcentral lists this ribosomal RNA (420 nucleotides) under Phylloporus grossus. RNAcentral describes it as "partial large subunit ribosomal RNA". It matches the Rfam family "Eukaryotic large subunit ribosomal RNA", at positions 81 to 496 of the family's 3401-position model. Lineage: Eukaryota; Fungi; Basidiomycota; Agaricomycetes; Boletales; Boletaceae. The record is from RNAcentral.
UAGUAACUGCGAGUGAAGCGGGAAAAGCUCAAAUUUUGAAUCUGGCGGUCCUUGUGGCCGUCCGAGUUGUAAUCUAGAGAAGUGUUUUCCGCGCUGGACCGUGUACAAGUCUCCUGGAAGGGAGCGUCAUAGAGGGUGAGAAUCCCGUCUUUGACACGGACUGCCAGUGCUAUGUGAUGCGCUCUCGACGAGUCGAGUUGUUUGUGAAUGCAGCUCAAAAUGGGUGGUAAAUUCCAUCUAAAGCUAAAUAUUGGCGAGAGACCGAUAGCGAACAAGUACCGUGAGGGAAAGACGAAAAGAACUUUGGAAAGAGAGUUAAACAGUACGUGAAAUUGCUGAAAGGGAAACGCUUGAUGUCAGUCGCGUCCGCCAGGGAUCAACCUAGCUUGAUUGCUUGGUGCAUUUCUUGGUCGGACGGGU